UGGUCGGCGAACAUUUUGCCACUCGCAGCACUUCCUGAAACUAGUCAUCCACUAGCCAAUCAAAUAUCCAGGACCGCCCUGCAAUGUUGCAUUCUGGUAAUUGUAGUGAAUGUGAUUACCUCAAAUCCUAUGUGUGUUAUGUGCACUGUAUAUGGAUUUAAACCGAAAAACUGUCUUUGGUACACUAUAAUCGUCUUUGAUUAUCUGGAUCGUAUACAAUAUUAGAUGGAAAUCAACCAACUGAUAAUUAACAGUUUAUAAACUACUUAUAAUAAUUUAACCUCCCUUUACUCGAUAUAGUUAUGGUAGUUGUUAAAUUAAAAUGUUCUACAAUUAUUCUCCCAAAUGCUUUUUUAGAUACAAAGUUGCCACUUCUCUUUGCUGCGAUUUCCCCUCCGAUCCUGUAGAUGGAACCAUGUGUCUUUGUUGUGUGCAUGUUUGUACAAAGAACUCGAAGCACACAUUGUUAUAUUUAACAAACUAAAUAUUUGACAGCUCGUUGAAAGUAAUACAUAUAGUUAUCAGCAUAUUUUAGUUGUAUAUAUACUUUUGCCAAAAUGUCGACAGCUUUUUGUUUUCAAGCACAGCUCGUUUCAGUCAUGGACGCGUUAUCAAAAACAGCUGUUUCAGAAAUAAGCAAACUGGUCGACAUCGAAUCAAAGGUUUUAAUAUUAGAAAUAACGCGUGGUCGGAAUGAAAUAGCAGCACUUACAGAGAAACUGCAGUUGAUGGAGAAUUUGCUUUGGAUCGACCGAGGGCACAGGCAGCACGCAACCGCAGAUACACGCACGAAAACACCAACAAGAGUGAGAGACGGUUCAAUGAACGAUUAUUGUGAAAUACCUCAGUCUGAGCCCAAAAGACCUGCAAUCAAAAAAAGUGAGAGUUCCUGGGAAAACAUUUGUCCUCCCCAAGAGAUGCACGUCAUCCAUCCGGUUGAAGAUAUUGCUCUUGUUUUGGAAACAGUGCCUACCACAGUGGUGAGAGACCAGCCUAAGUUGAUUGUGAUCAAGGAGGAACCUUCAGAGGUGGACAUAUGGGGUAGUGGGCCAAAGACUGAACUCAUAAAUGAAAAGGAAGCAGCAACAUCACUUGAUACAGAUGUUAGGUGUCUUGAUGUGCAUCAGCAUUGUCCAGACGGCUCAGACAAACACCCUAUGCUUACUGAGAGCCAAGUGAACCACAGCACUCCGCCCUCAUCCAGAGUGCAAUUGGAGGACCUGGACACACAUUGGAUGCCGCCUGCAUGUUCACAGAGCCAGGAUGCACAGCAGAUCACACCUGCUGCACAGAGAAACUCCAUAACUGGAAACAGCUCUGGUGGUAUAACAAAUCUGCCCUUUCAGAGUUUCAGUGUGGCAAAGUCAAACAUGAAGAUCCACAGCCUGAGAACGUCAGGAGCUAAAAGAUUUGGCUGUAUGCAAUGUGGCAAGAACUUCAGGUGUUACAGUCAGCUGGAAAUACACCAGCGAAGUCACACUGGAGAAAAACCGUACCGAUGCACACUGUGUGGAAAGAGAUACGCACAGAAAGGGCAUCUUUAUACCCACCAACGCACCCAUACUGGAGAAAAACCAUAUCGCUGCCUCGACUGUGGCAAGAGCUUCAUUCAAAAAUGCACUCUCGAUAUGCAUCAGCGCACCCACACUGGAGAAAAACCUUAUGUUUGUGUGAAAUGUGGGAAGGGAUUUACUAAAAACUGUAACCUUAAGAAACACAUGGGUGUACAUACAGAGUUCAGCAUGCAUGUUUACAGUGAGUCCAGUUUUCAAGAGGACAGAUGUUAAAAUAGACCAUCAGUACUAGUACCAACCAACCAGCCUCUGCAGUGGAUUUGAUGGACUUCAGUCAUUAAAAGUUUUCCUCAUAGAAUAGAAGUUUUUGCUUUUCAGAAAAAUAAAGGUGUCCCCUUUUCAACAUUU
This is a long non-coding RNA of Oncorhynchus masou masou (cherry salmon), 1922 nucleotides long. RefSeq lists it as uncharacterized. The transcript is spliced from 4 exons. Lineage: Eukaryota; Metazoa; Chordata; Actinopteri; Salmoniformes; Salmonidae. The record is from RefSeq and is a predicted model, not a curated record.